RNAcentral lists this ribosomal RNA (786 nucleotides) under Bifidobacterium pseudocatenulatum. RNAcentral describes it as "bacterial SSU rRNA". It matches the Rfam family "Bacterial small subunit ribosomal RNA", at positions 123 to 919 of the family's 1533-position model. The record is from RNAcentral. Lineage: Bacteria; Bacillati; Actinomycetota; Actinomycetes; Bifidobacteriales; Bifidobacteriaceae.
GACCUGCCCCAUACACCGGAAUAGCUCCUGGAAACGGGUGGUAAUGCCGGAUGCUCCGACUCCUCGCAUGGGGUGUCGGGAAAGAUUUCAUCGGUAUGGGAUGGGGUCGCGUCCUAUCAGGUAGUCGGCGGGGUAACGGCCCACCGAGCCUACGACGGGUAGCCGGCCUGAGAGGGCGACCGGCCACAUUGGGACUGAGAUACGGCCCAGACUCCUACGGGAGGCAGCAGUGGGGAAUAUUGCACAAUGGGCGCAAGCCUGAUGCAGCGACGCCGCGUGCGGGAUGACGGCCUUCGGGUUGUAAACCGCUUUUGAUCGGGAGCAAGCCUUCGGGUGAGUGUACCUUUCGAAUAAGCACCGGCUAACUACGUGCCAGCAGCCGCGGUAAUACGUAGGGUGCAAGCGUUAUCCGGAAUUAUUGGGCGUAAAGGGCUCGUAGGCGGUUCGUCGCGUCCGGUGUGAAAGUCCAUCGCUUAACGGUGGAUCUGCGCCGGGUACGGGCGGGCUGGAGUGCGGUAGGGGAGACUGGAAUUCCCGGUGUAACGGUGGAAUGUGUAGAUAUCGGGAAGAACACCAAUGGCGAAGGCAGGUCUCUGGGCCGUUACUGACGCUGAGGAGCGAAAGCGUGGGGAGCGAACAGGAUUAGAUACCCUGGUAGUCCACGCCGUAAACGGUGGAUGCUGGAUGUGGGGCCCGUUCCACGGGUUCCGUGUCGGAGCUAACGCGUUAAGCAUCCCGCCUGGGGAGUACGGCCGCAAGGCUAAAACUCAAAGAAAUUGACGGGGG